This is an RNA transcript of Vitis vinifera (wine grape), 5058 nucleotides long. It is a transcript of the gene named homoserine kinase, with no coding region annotated. The record is from RefSeq and is a predicted model, not a curated record. The transcript has 2 exons. NCBI's taxonomy places the organism in Eukaryota, Viridiplantae, Streptophyta, Magnoliopsida, Vitales, Vitaceae.
AUUCUCUCACGAGUGUUAGACAACAAAAGCCCUAUAGAGAUACUUAAGAGUUUCUAUCCACACUUUAGAACCUCAAAUGGGCUCACUCCUAGGGUAUUUGGGUGCACUGCAUUUGUUCAUGUCCACAACCAACAUAAAGACAAACUAGACCCUUGAGCCACAAAAUGUUUCUUCCUUGGUUACUCAUCCACUCAAAAAGGAUACAAGUGUUACAAUCCCUCAGCCAGAAAAUUUUACAUCUCUGCAGAUGUCAUCUUCACAGAAAAUAAAUUUUUUUCCCUAAGUCCUCUCUUCAGGGGGAGAUUUCAAUGAUGGAAGAUAGUCCUUGUGAGUCCUUUGAACCCCUUGACCUUCCUCAUGUCUCAACCCAUGGUGAUGAAGAACCUAAGUCAUCCGAGCCAAUCACACUUGAGUCACCCAAUUUUACUAUUGAACCCAUGUCAUCCCCUGUUCUAGCCAGUGUCACUCGCAAUUUUCCACAGUUUUCUAAGGUGUAUUCAAGGGAAAAGGCCAUUUCAGAACAAAAGCAAGUCCAAGAAUCCAACUCAGACCCUGGGAAUGAAAUCACGGUAAGAUCAUACCCACCUUUAUAUACACAAUCUGGUGAAACUUCCACUGACUCAACAGACAACCUAGACCUAGACCUAGACCUUCCCAUUACUGUCAGAAAAGGCACCAGAGAAUGCACUAACCGACCACUCUAUCCACUAUCACACUAUGUGUCUCUUAAGCACCUAUCACCAACCCAUAAGAAUUUCAUUGUGAGUCUAAACACCACCAUCAUCCCUAACACUGUUUUUGAGGCAUUGACAAAAAGGGAAUGGAAGGAUGCUAUGAGAGAGGAGAUUAGUGCAUCAGAAAAGAAUAAAACAUGGGAGAUUGUUGAAAGACUGAAAGGGAAAAACAUUGUUGAUUGCAAGUGGAUUUUUACACUGAAAUAUAAGGCUAAUGGAUCUCUUGAGAGACAUAAAGCAAGAUUGGUAGUUAAAGGGUACACUCAAACUUAUAGAGUUGAUUAUCAAGAGACUUUUGCUCCAGUUGCAAAAAUGAAUACUGUAAGAAUCCUGCUGUCAUUGGUUGCCCGCUACAAUUGGCAACUUUUACAGUAUGAAGUUAAGAAUGCAUUUCUUCAUGGUGAUUUAGAUGAAGAGAUUUACAUGAACAUCCCACCGGGAUUUGAGGGAAACACAGGUAAUAAGGUGUGCAAGCUGAAAAAUGCUCUUUAUGGGCUAAAACAAUCUCCUAGGGCUUGAUUUGGGAGAUUUGCAAAAGUCAUGAAAGAGUCUGGGUACAAACAAAGCCAAGGUGACUACACUCUCUUCGUUAAGCACUUGGCUGCAAGGGGAGUAAUUGCUCUUCUAGUCUAUGUUGACGACAUCAUAGUGACUGGAAGUGAUGAGAGAGAAAAUCAUGAAGUGAAGCAGAGAUUAGCAACAGAGUUUGAGAUAAAGGAACUAGGGAAACUGAAGUACUUCCUCGGUAUUGAGGUGGCAUAUUCCUCACAAAGGAUCUUCAUCUCUCAACAAAAGUAUGUGACUGAUUUAUUGGCAGAAACAGGGAAGAUUGGGUGUAAACCAGUCUCUACCCCAAUGGAUCCAAAAUACAAGUUGGGAGAAGCUAAAGAAGAACCAGUGGUGGAUAAAAGAAUGUACCAAAGGCUGGUUGGUAGACUCAUAUACCUUGCUCACACUUGGCUAGACAUCGCCUACUCAAUGAGCGUGAUCAGUCAAUUCAUGCAUGAUCCAAGAGAACCUCAUCUUCAAGCUGCUUACAGGGUGCUACAUUACUUGAAAGGCAACCCCGGGAAAGGAAUUUUGUUCAAGAAGAACAAUACUCUUGCUCUAGAAGCAUACACCGACGCUGACUAUGCAGGUUCCCUAGUGGAUCGAAGAUCAACUACAGGGUAUUGUACUUUUCUUGGAGGUAAUCUGGUAACAUGAAGAAGGAAAAAGCAGAAUGUGGUAGCAAAGUUGUCUGCAGAAUCAGAGUUUAGGGUCAUUGCUCAAGAGUUGUGUGAACUACUUUGGCUGAAGAUUAUUCUAGAUGAUUUGAGAAUCAAGUAGGAUGGUCCUAUGAAACUCUAUUGUGACAACAAGUUAGCUAUCAAUAUUUCUCAUAACCCUAUACAACACGAUAGGACAAAACAUAUUGAGAUUAAUAGGCAUUUUAUCAAAGAAAAAUUGGAGGAAGGAGUAGUGUGUAUGUCCCAUGUUCCAUUAGAACAUCAAUUAGCUGAUAUCCUAACAAAAGGACUGAACAGUUCAAUGUUUCACGAUCUUGUAUUCAAGCUGGGAAUGGAAGACAUCUAUUCCUCAGCUUGAGGGGGAGUGUCGAUCUGUAAAUAGGCUAUAAUUGAGCUGUAAAUAAUAGGAGAAUUAUUUUAAAAUCCCUUAAAUUGAGGGAUUCAGUUAGAUAGUUUUCUGAUUUAGGAAUAAGUUAGUUUCCUAUUAUGUCUCUUGUUUCCUAUUUCUCCUCUUGUAAUCUCCUAUAUAAACUGUGUGUAUAGUCAAUCUAAUAUACAGAAAUUACUAUUUUUCAUCCCAUAUUUCGUGUCAUUAGUAUAAUUAUUUUGUCCAUAAUUUUCUUAAUAUUUGUUACACUAACAAUUCCUUUAUCAUCAAUCCUAAUCUUAAAAGGAGAUGCUCUUACUAAUGUUCCAUUAAUAUUUUGAUCUAUCUUAGCUUUUGGAGGAUUGAAUUUUAUGAUCCUAUUGUCACUAGUUUUCCAUUGUUUAUUAUUUUUUUAAUUAUUAUUGAUAUCUCUGAAUGGAUAACUAAGGAAUUCAUUUUCUUUAAAAGUUUCAAACCAUUUCUAGAACUUAACAUGGGUUUGGUUUUUUCUUAGAUAAUCAUAAAAUUCUUCUUGAUAUAUGGUCCUAGACACUUAGGACACAUAACUAAAAUCUGUAUUCCUUUUUCUUUGUUUUCUUCUAAGAAAAAAUAUUGUCUUAAUAAUUCCUUGUUAAUCACAAAUUCUUGAUCUAUCAUAUUAAUCAUCCAAGAAUAUGUGGGUGACAUAUCCAAUGAUUCUUGAGUAGACUCCCUAUCUUUGGAAUAGUAGGUUUUUGCUACAUUUGUGUGACUUUUAACUCUUGAUAACUUAAUAUUCUUAAGGUUUGAAGAUGUGGAUCCUUCAUCUUAGUGGUUCUAGUUGGAACAGAUGAGCAUGAUGCUUUAGAAAGUUCAUAUUCUAAAAUUCUAAGAGUUUUAGAAUGUCUAAAGGAAUUAGAGAAGAUCAAAUCUCCUCAUCCACAAGAUUAUUGAACUAUUUGUUCAAUUUUUUCUGUUCUUUGGUUUGUGGGUGGAACAACAUGGGAGAAAUGCCAUGAUUUAGGAAAUUCAACUUCAUUCCACAAGAUUUUCUUAGGAAUGAUAUAGUUAGAUUUACUCAUUAAAUUUGAUUGAAAGAGAAUUGUCUCUCCCCUAUGACUAGUGCAUAAAACUCUGGAUCUUACAUGGGUGGUCAUGCUCUUAUAAGAGAACUUGGUAAUUAUGGAAACUGAACUGUUUCCUUUCUUAAAUCUAAAUCUACGAGUCUUAACAUGAUGGAAAACUAAAUCUAAGAUGUAAGCAUCUCUUAAUCUUACCAUGAAAUUAGGAUAACACUGAAAAUAAACAGGUCCAUCAUUUAAUCUUGCUUGAAUUGCUCCGAUGGUAGAAUCUUUGUAAUCAAGAUGCUUAUUAUCUCUUAGACACAUAACAAUUGACGUAUUUAAGCUUAUUCUAACCAAUGCCUUAGCAACUACUUCACCAUUCCUAAAUGUGUAAAUCUUUCUUAUGUCUUUUUAUGGAUUUGCUAUCUAGAAGUCUUAUUACUUGAUCAUCUUAUUCCAAGCUUAUGGUUUUUUCAGUUGUCUUAACCAUGUAAUUUGAGAAAAACUUAAAAGAUCCUUUCUUCUUAAUUUCUUGGUUGGAAACCUUAGGUAAUUUCCAAUUUUCCAAGUUAUUUUGAAUCUUAGGAUAAUUUGCUUCUUCACUGUUUACUAUAGCUUCUUGGGGAUAAGUGGAUCUCCUAGACAUGGAUAUGAAGCUUGAAUUCAUUUUAGGUCUUAAUCUAAAGCCUAUUUAUGGGUUUACAAACCUAACUGAGUAAUCACUGGAAAUCCUGCCCUAAAACACCUCCUUCAAUGGCCAACACGGGCUCCUCUGGAUUGCCUCUAGGCAAACCAUUUCUCCUGAGAUAGAUGAAGCUAUAAAACAAACCUAAUAGCCAUACCCAUGGGUCUGAUACCAUAAAUACCUAGGACACUGUAGUAUAUGGUGAAAGAGUACAUACCCAAUAGUGCAUGUAUGCAUGCAUAUAUUGGUGAUAAAGCAAGUUUUUUAUUCCUGAAAAAGGGUUUUUUGUGGGUGGCUAUUGAUCAGUUCUAUUGUAAAAGUUGCAAGUAGCCUUUUAUAGACUGAUUCUUUUAUUGAUAUUUUAACCAUUUUUUAUAUUGACAUAAUUUGUUAAGUAUUUGAAUUGGUAACCUCCACGACCUUUCAUCAAUUGACCUUCAUUCCCCAGUAAUGCCCUUUUGCGAAGAAUGUUGACAGCAACCUUGUGUCACUAAUUCCCCCAGAGUCAAAAUGUGAAACACCACCAUAUGUAGGAGUCUGCUACUCAGCACAAUCUGGGUCUUGUUAAUAUCCCUCAUCAUUCUAGUCCUUGGAAGUGUUGUGAAUAUGUGUGCUGUUCUGCAAGUGGGAAUUUCUGCUUCUUUGUCAUGGGAAUUAUGUCAGACAUACUCUUUUCAAUGAUCUCCACCACCUGGGUUUGAGGCCCCUGCAUACCUAUUUGUGCCCUUACAUUUUUGGUGAGUAACUUCAUUUGUACCUGGACACUACUAGUGUUGCUCACAUCCAUUUCCCCCUUGUUGGUGUCUUUAUGAAAUUCUUUGAAAUGAGUUAAUUGUACAGAAUGUUUAAAUUUAUUGAAUGAUGAUUAUAUGUAGAAAUUAGCUUCUUUUGAAGGACUUGAUACUGUUGAAAGUGAUCUUUUGAGCGUAUACAAUGAAACAUAUAUACAUACACAUACCCAUAAAUCACUGGAUGAUGAUUAUAUGCGGAGAUUAUCUUA